AGCGGCAACAGCUCAAAUUUGAAAUCUGGCCCCCUCGGGGCCCGAGUUGUAAUUUGCAGAGGGAGCUUUUGGCGUCGGUCGUGGUCUAAGUUCCUUGGAACAGGACGUCACAGAGGGUGAGAAUCCCGUACGUGGCCGCCGGCCUUCGCCUUGUAAAGCCCCUUCGACGAGUCGAGUUGUUUGGGAAUGCAGCUCUAAAUGGGAGGUAAAUUCCUUCUAAAGCUAAAUACCCGCCAGAGACCGAUAGCGCACAAGUAGAGUGAUCGAAAGAUGAAAAGCACUUUGGAAAGAGAGUGAAAAAGCACGUGAAAUUGUUGAAAGGGAAGCGCUUGCGGCUAGACGUGCCCGCGGUUGAUCAUCCAGGCUCCGGCCUGGUGCACUCCUCCGCGGGCAGGCCAGCAUCAGUUCGGGCGGUCGGAUAAAGGCCUCUGUCACGUACCACCCCUCGGGGUGGCCUUAUAGGGGAGGCGCAACACGGCCAGCCCGGACUGAGGUUCCGCGCAUCUGCUAGGAUGCUGGCGUAAUAGCAGCAAGCGGCCCGUCUUGAAACACGGACCAAGGAGUCUAACAUCUAUGCGAGUGUUUGGGUGUCAAGCCCGAGCGCGCAAUGAAAGUGAACGGAGGUGGGAACCCUCACGGGUGCACCAUCGACCGAUCCUGAUGUCUUCGGAUGGAUUUGAGUAAGAGCAUAGCUGUUGGGACCCGAAAGAUGGUGAACUAUGCCUGAAUAGGGUGAAGCCAGAGGAAACUCUGGUGGAGGCUCGCAGCGGUUCUGACGUGCAAAUCGAUCGUCAAAUUUGGGCA
RNAcentral lists this ribosomal RNA (804 nucleotides) under Torula chinensis. RNAcentral's name for it is "Torula sp. WT-2022a partial large subunit ribosomal RNA". It matches the Rfam family "Eukaryotic large subunit ribosomal RNA", at positions 97 to 917 of the family's 3401-position model. Lineage: Eukaryota; Fungi; Ascomycota; Dothideomycetes; Pleosporales; Torulaceae. The record is from RNAcentral.